Molecule: unclassified non-coding RNA, 22 nt
Filed under: Mus musculus (house mouse)
Lineage: Eukaryota; Metazoa; Chordata; Mammalia; Rodentia; Muridae
Description: oocyte_clustered_small_RNA7131
Source: RNAcentral
GACUGGGAAAGGACCGCACGAU